GGUCAUGGCACUUCUAUGUGUUCCAUAUAUGUACUACAAUUACAGAUUGUACACGAGAAGGCAGCACCUUGUUGAUGUGACAGAGAUUUUUAAUCUGCUUAAUUGGGAAAAGAAACAGCGGCUUUUCAAACUAGGCUAUAUCGUCCUUCUCCUCUUCAUAUCAUUAUUUUGGUUAAUUUACAGUGCCUUGGAGGAUGAUGAAGAGUCCCUAUAGGUUCUAUUUCUGCUGCAUUUGCUCAUUUAUGCUGGCUUGUUCUAGUUCAUUAUUCUUGAAUGUUCAGGGUUUAGAAUAGCAGAUUUGAUCGCAGAUUUGAAGCUCUCCUGUCCCCCUCCCUAUUCAAUUUCCAAGCAAGUGCAGGUUUUCGGGUUCUACAUAUGUACUGCAGGGUGUGAUUUUGAGUAACAUAGUACCUUCAA
RNAcentral lists this unclassified non-coding RNA (417 nucleotides) under Hevea brasiliensis (rubber tree). Lineage: Eukaryota; Viridiplantae; Streptophyta; Magnoliopsida; Malpighiales; Euphorbiaceae. The record is from RNAcentral.